UUGUUGGAGAGUUUGAUCCUGGCUCAGGACGAACGCUGGCGGCGUGCUUCACACAUGCAAGUCGAACGGAAAGGCCCGCU
Molecule: ribosomal RNA, 80 nt
Filed under: Glycomyces lechevalierae
Lineage: Bacteria; Bacillati; Actinomycetota; Actinomycetes; Glycomycetales; Glycomycetaceae
Description: partial 16S ribosomal RNA
Rfam family: Bacterial small subunit ribosomal RNA
Source: RNAcentral